Non-coding RNA from Pan troglodytes (chimpanzee), 304 nucleotides. It matches the Rfam family "Metazoan signal recognition particle RNA". Rfam says of the family: The signal recognition particle (SRP) is a universally conserved ribonucleoprotein. It is involved in the co-translational targeting of proteins to membranes. Lineage: Eukaryota; Metazoa; Chordata; Mammalia; Primates; Hominidae. The record is from Rfam.
CCUGGUGCCAUGGUGUGUGCCUGUAGUUCCAGCUACUCAGCAGGGUAGGGUGACGCUGGAGGAUCACUUGAGCCCAGGAGUCCUGGGCUGUCAUGUGCUAUGCUGAUUGGGUUCCUGCACUAAUUUCAGCAUCAAUAUGGUGACCUCCCAGUAGCGGGGAACCACGAGGUUGCCUAAGUAGGGGUGAACCUGCCCAGGUUGAAAAUUGAGCAGGUCAAAACUCCUAUGCUGAUCAGUGCUGGGAUCGUGCCUGUAAAUAGCCACUGCACUGCAGUCUGGGCAACACAGUGAGACCUCAUUUCGA